ACGCACGCUGGCGGCUUGCUUAACACAUGCCAGUCGAACGAAAAGAGGGAAAGAGCUUGCUCUUUCCGGAAUUGAGUGGCAAACGGGUGAGUAACACGUAAACAACCUGCCUUCAGGAUGGGGACAACAGACGGAAACGACUGCUAAUACCGAAUAAGUUCCAAGAGCCGCAUGGCCCAUGGAAGAAAAGGUGGCCUCUACCUGUAAGCUAUCGCCUGAAGAGGGGUUUGCGUCUGAUUAGCUGGUUGGAGGGGUAACGGCCCACCAAGGCGACGAUCAGUAGCCGGUCUGAGAGGAUGAACGGCCACACUGGAACUGAGACACGGUCCAGACUCCUACGGGAGGCAGCAGUGGGGAAUCUUCCGCAAUGGGCGAAAGCCUGACGGAGCAACGCCGCGUGAGUGAUGACGGCCUUCGGGUUGUAAAACUCUGUGAUCCGGGACGAAAAGGCAGAGUGCGAAGAACAAACUGCAUUGACGGUACCGGAAAAGCAAGCCACGGCUAACUACGUG
This 512-nucleotide ribosomal RNA is filed under the name uncultured bacterium. Its description in RNAcentral is "partial 16S ribosomal RNA". It matches the Rfam family "Bacterial small subunit ribosomal RNA", at positions 29 to 507 of the family's 1533-position model. The record is from RNAcentral.